RNAcentral lists this ribosomal RNA (484 nucleotides) under uncultured bacterium. Its description in RNAcentral is "partial 16S ribosomal RNA". It matches the Rfam family "Bacterial small subunit ribosomal RNA", at positions 29 to 507 of the family's 1533-position model. The record is from RNAcentral.
AGUGAACGCUGGCGGCAGGCCUAACACAUGCAAGUCGAGCGGCAGCGGGGCCUUCGGGAUGCCGUCCAGCGGCGGACGGGUGAGUAAUGCAUCGGAAUCUGCCCGGUCGUGGGGGAUAACGUAGGGAAACGUACGCUAAUACCGCAUACGACCUGCGGGUGAAAGCGGGGGAUCUCAAGACCUCACGCGACCGGAUGAGCCUAUGUCCGAUUAGCUAGUUGGCGGGGUAAAGGCCUACCAAGGCGACGAUCCGUAGCUGGUCUGAGAGGAUGAUCAGUCACACUGGAACUGAGACACGGCCCAGACUCCUACGGGAGGCAGCAGUGGGGAAUAUUGGACAAUGGGCGCAAGCCUGAUCCAGCCAUGCCGCGUGUGUGAAGAAGGUCUUCGGGUUGUAAAGCACUUUUGUCUGGGAAGAAAGCGUGUGAGCUAAUACCUCGGGGGUAUGACGGUACCGGAAGAAUAAGCACCGGCUAACUUCGUG